This 107-nucleotide small nuclear RNA is filed under the name Neodiprion lecontei (redheaded pine sawfly). Lineage: Eukaryota; Metazoa; Arthropoda; Insecta; Hymenoptera; Diprionidae. The record is from RNAcentral.
GAUUUUAAAAAGCAAGUACAUAUACUAAAAUUGGAACGAUACAGAGAAGAUUAGCAUGGCCCCUGCGCAAGGAUGACACGCAAAAUCGUGAAGCGUUCCACAUUUUA